This 301-nucleotide ribosomal RNA is filed under the name Nostoc parmelioides FACHB-3921. RNAcentral describes it as "partial 16S ribosomal RNA". It matches the Rfam family "Bacterial small subunit ribosomal RNA", at positions 1 to 329 of the family's 1533-position model. Lineage: Bacteria; Bacillati; Cyanobacteriota; Cyanophyceae; Nostocales; Nostocaceae. The record is from RNAcentral.
AAAACGGAGAGUUUGAUCCUGGCUCAGGAUGAACGCUGGCGGUAUGCUUAACACAUGCAAGUCGAACGGAAUCUUUAGGGAUUUAGUGGCGGACGGGUGAGUAACGCGUGAGAAUCUAGCUUCAGGUCGGGGACAACCACUGGAAACGGUGGCUAAUACCGGAUGUGCCGAAAGGUGAAAGAUUAAUUGCCUGAAGAUGAGCUCGCGUCUGAUUAGCUAGUUGGUGUGGUAAGAGCGCACCAAGGCGACGAUCAGUAGCUGGUCUGAGAGGAUGAUCAGCCACACUGGGACUGAGACACGG